This is a long non-coding RNA of Pecten maximus, 3909 nucleotides long. RefSeq lists it as uncharacterized. The transcript is spliced from 12 exons. Lineage: Eukaryota; Metazoa; Mollusca; Bivalvia; Pectinida; Pectinidae. The record is from RefSeq and is a predicted model, not a curated record.
AUGCAGGUAAGGCCAAACCACACCACGCUAUAAGACCAGCAAGGAUAGACGUCCCGUAAAAACCUGUGUGCCUUACAGCCACAGUGUUAAAAAGGUUGCUGUCACCGUUCUGUUGGUAGAUUUUUAAACGUCGUAUAUAUAAUAAAAUGUAUUCGUAAAGAUAGGCGUCUUGGAGCCUUUAUUAACAGCACUUUGAAUCAUAAACCCACACAUUGAAGGUUAUACAAAGAAAUGUCGUAUAGUCUCGUGACAUGUAUACGAUAUACAAUACAACACAAUUACAAUUGCACAAGAAAUACUUUAAACUUAGAUCUUUUAUUUUUAUCAGACAAGAAUAUGUACAGUGAUCUAGUUUGGAAUGUAUAAUUGUAGAAUUCGACAUACUGAGUCAUACAGAUAAAAAAAUAAAGGUACUCGUCGCCAAUACCUUGAAACACAAGGGGCAAAUUCUUUCAUUAUGUGAUAUACUAGCCCAAAUUCCCGUUUGUAGAUCCAACCAAUCAUACGAAUGACAUAUAGACCCAUAUCUACUACGUGAUUACUAUACAUUGACACGCGUGUCUUGUACUUCAUAGGACCGAUUAAAAUCAUUAAAUGGAGGGUACUGAGAUCUCUCUGGAUCUCCUGUCUUCCUCCGAUGGGUGAAAUAUAAAAAAAAAUCGGGCCAGAAUGAUCUAGGUUUGGUAUAUGAUCAUGACACACGCCUUACCUCAACUGACUCAACUGAGGGCUAUUUGAAAAUAAACUCUUUGAUAAAGUGUUGGAUAAGCCUAACAUCAAUCAGAUUAUCAAUAUACAUUGCAUUGCUAUCAGAAAAAAAAAUCGCAUUUCAAAACUGAAAUCUCGGAAUUUGCUCCGACUGGCGAAGCAAUGUCGAAGUGUUUGAAAUAGCAUGCCAUAUUCAGUCACAGACAUGGGCGUUCAAAACAUCUGUGGGGUCCGUGCGCUGUAUUGAAAGUUGGACAAGUAUCAUCCAGGAGCGAUAUAGAAACUUGUUCUUACCAGACUUCGUUUUCAUUCACUUCCGUGGCUUACUGUGCCAGCCCCGGGGUGGGGGUUGUACACGGUGACUACAAUAUACGUGAUCUAAAUAUAUAGAUCUAAACAUUUGUUUGAAGUCAGACUUACAAAGCAUACGUUUUGGGUAACGGUGCUAAACUCAAUACUGAUAUGUUGCCGCCGACGACGGAAAAGUGACGUCAAAGUCUUUUUUGUGACAUUAAAAAACUUAAACCUGUAUACCGAAUAGCAACGACAAAUGGAUGAAAUUGAUGAAAUAUAGAAUACAAAUAAGAUACAAUGCAAAUUUAAACAUACUGAAUACAAAUGGGAAAUAUACAAUAUAAAUGAAAACACAUUGAGUUUAAAUGCUAAAUUACUGAAUAAUGCAACGGUUGAAAAGCCAUAGCGAUGACAACGUUGAAUAUUUAUCUAAAUUUCUAUCAGUCUUGAACUAAAAGGAAAAUUAUAGUUAACAGGAACAUUAGGUAAUUGUUCCACGGUGACGGACACAAAAAUUACGUUAUAUAGAGUAACGGUUUGAACCACUCUGGGCAGGAAGGACUAGUACUAACGACGGACUGGUUUGGGGCAUCUGGAACUCCUCGGGUAGGUAUAGCCAACCCGAGGAUAAUCCGAAUGUGGUUUAGAACAACUAUAGGGGCCGGACGGGAGAGUCUGUAACGACUUUGGUCGAUCGACCAUAUAUAUAAGUAAAAGUUGUCUUCCUUCGUCAUUUGUGUUUCUAAGCUAUAUAUAUAUAUAUAUAUGGGGCAAAGAAGUAAUUCAAACAGUGUAAACAAUAAGGUUUGUUAAAUUUUCGAGGCAAUCCGCCCCUUUAUCAAAACACAAAAAAUCACAAAUACAAUCACAUAAUAUAUAUAAGAAGUACUGGAAAUACAAUAAAAUUCAAUAAGAAUAAUGUUAUAGUAACUGGAGAAACCACAAUGAACCCUUCGGCACUUCUUUGACCCUUUAUAUAUAUAUAUAUAUAUUAUAAGCUUAGUGGCUUUUAGUGUUAAAAUAGAAUGAUUUUUUGCUAUUAAAACUGCGUUUUCCCCUCGAUGAAGGAGAGUUUGUGCUCCUUGUAAUAGCAAGUCACUCCUGAUGGUAUACGUUAUUGGAGGUUAUUUCCCCUCGAGGUGCCCCAAGCGUCCAAUACUGCACGGGUUUUCACAGAGCCAAGUCAGUAUUCCCGCCACCGUCAAGCGAGAAGGACCUUUCGUUUCGGUCCAUGACGGGGCGGAAGUCUGUCAAUGGUACUGGAUGGACAUUAGGCCCUGCCGUCCUGAGGCCAAUGUCAAAGUCAACUGACCCCAGACCAUCAGGACUGUCCACAGGCAAAAGGACGAGAUCCUGGUCAGGAUAGGUGGUACUCCUAGCUCUGGUUGGGUGAUCUGGUGCUGGUGGUAUCUGGAGCUCAAUAGAUUUAUUUCAGUUCAGCACCACUUCUCGUUUCUUUUGCAGUAGUUUUUAAGCCAGGAAAUAUCAUUGAUGAGGUGCUAGGGCCUUUACGGCUGCAUGUUAGGCGAAAUCAUGAUCCCCUCCAUGAUGGACCCUAAGGGGGGCAUGUGGCUGUCUAGGUUCUAGUACUUUAUCACUGAUAUUUCGGGGUUAAAUUCUGUUGUAAUUGGGGCGGGUAAGGGUAGUUGUUCUGCAAUAAGUCUCUUGUAGUAAAAGAUACUCCGGUGUUGGAAAGUCUGAUUGGGGUGAAGGGUCAACCUAUUCUGUCUGACAGAAAAGCGAGCCCCUCGGUCAAGGGAGAACCGGGGGACGUGCCUAGAGGUGGCAUCAGGAGCCCUGCCAGGUCUCGGAAAGCUGACUGUGCUCACACUAGCGGGAGCAGUGUAGAGCCAGUCAUCAAAGGAUCUUUGUCAACAAGGCGAUAAAGACCUUAAGGAUGGACAGAGUGGCAGUAAUCUGUUUAUUCCAUAAAGCUGUGGUUGCCUGGAUCUAAGCCAUCAGGCUGAUGGAUAGGUCCAGAGCAAGCCCAAGCACCUGGAUGUGGUGCUGGAGCCCCUGUCGGUCUCCGAAAGCUAACUGCUUUGCACACUUGAUAUUCAGUGUGGGGCAGUCCAAUAGGAUCAGGUCACCAAGAUCCUACGGGUGGGACAUAGUGGCAGGACUAUAGUCUCCGUAGAGCAGGGCAUGUCCAUAUGGCAAGUAAGAUGUGCGAGAUCCACGCUUUGGCUGCAUCACAAGCAUGAGUGCCAUGUCCUUCAGGGGAAUGUCUAACGUCAGGACAUUCACCGGGUCAGGGUUCCAAAGGGAGCGUGAUCUCACUCUGGAUAGAUGACAUAGCAAUGGGGAUCUUUGUUAUCUCAAGAUGGUUCAUUCAUUUCUCAAUUCGUUCCGUCCCUUCCUCGACAAUGUUUAACUCAUGGCACAGACAUGAAUCUGGUACAAGUUAAGCAAUACAGCAUCAUGAUUGGAGCGCCAGGUCUGUGUGGUCCAGGCCUGGUAAUCCAAUGGACCACCAUGUGUCAGACUGUUAUUGCUUGUAAAUCUUGUAUAGGGUGAUUGUUUGUGUCUUGAGUUGAAUACUUGGAGAGGAAUGGACGGAUCUAGUUGAGACUUGAAUUAUCCAUCUUGUGAUUUCCGAUAUCUUUAUUGCUUUGAAGUCUAUUUGGAGUCAAGGUUGCGUAAACUUGAAGAAUCCUGGCUAUAAGGAUGGACUGCCAUGCCCCACCAAACCCCAGACGGGAUCGGACGGGAACGGACGGGAUCUGACGGGAUCGGACGGGAUCUGACGGGAUCGGACGGGACAGACGGGGUCGGACGGGACCCAGACCAUCUUUUUCUUUUUUUUUCCUUUUUUUUGUUUCAGGUGGUUCUGUUGAGGAGGCCUCCCCGUGGCAGAACUGGUAACAGCUUAAAGUAUUUAUCUGCAAAUAAGCCCAUGCCAAAAAA